This 253-nucleotide ribosomal RNA is filed under the name uncultured bacterium. Its description in RNAcentral is "partial 16S ribosomal RNA". It matches the Rfam family "Bacterial small subunit ribosomal RNA", at positions 524 to 776 of the family's 1533-position model. The record is from RNAcentral.
UACGGAGGGAGCUAGCGUUGUUCGGAAUUACUGGGCGUAAAGCGAACGUAGGCGGCUUUGUAAGUUAGAGGUGAAAGCCUGGAGCUCAACUCCAGAAUUGCCUUUAAGACUGCAUCGCUCGAGUCCGGGAGAGGAGAGUGGAAUUCCGAGUGUAGAGGUGAAAUUCGUAGAUAUUCGGAAGAACACCAGUGGCGAAGGCGGCUCUCUGGACCGUUACUGACGCUGAGGUGCGAAAGCGUGGGGAGCAAACAGG